Molecule: long non-coding RNA, 1795 nt
Filed under: Brassica napus (rape)
Lineage: Eukaryota; Viridiplantae; Streptophyta; Magnoliopsida; Brassicales; Brassicaceae
Description: long non-coding RNA (BNAP_LNC012459)
Source: RNAcentral
GGCGGUGGGAUCAACGCCGUCGCUAAUCGUCUGGUUUGUAUUCAAAUUCUCGGACGCACACAAUAUGUUUGAUUUAAUGCUGCUAUCCAUCUCCCAAUGAAAUACAAAACUUUUUUUUUUUCCUUGCAAUUUGAUAACAACAUACACAGAGCAAAUGGGUGUUAGCUGCUCUGUUUGGAUCGGUUCUGCUUCUACGACAUGAUGGUGCAGCCUUGUGGGCUGUCAUUGGCUCCGUUUCCAAUUCCGCGCUUUCCGUAGCUCUCAAACGCAUCCUUAACCAAGAGAGACCUGUUGCAACUCUGCGUUCUGACCCUGGGAUGCCUUCUUCUCAUGCUCAGUCCAUUUCUUUCAUCUCUCUCUUUACCCUCUUCUCUGGUAAAACUCUCAAAUUUCUCUCACCCUUUCCUUUCCCAUCUCUCUUUCUCUACUUGCAUCAUUUCGUCACCUCUCAAACUGUUAUUUCCCCAGUUAUGGAGUGGCUUGGAACCAACGAACUCUCUCUUUUCCUUAGCGGCCUCAUCGUUGCGUUGGCUUCUUACUUUGUAAGUUUUCAUGCAAAACUGUUGCAGAACCAUAUAAACUAAUUCAUUCACUUACUGGUGAUGAUGAUUGUAUGCAGACAUGGUUAAGGGUCUCCCAGAAGCUUCACACGGCCAGUCAAGUGGUGGUGGGUGCAAUCGUGGGCUCUGUUUACUCCACCUUGUGGUACAUAACGUGGAACUCACUUGUUCUGGAAGCUUUCGCCUCAUCAUUCUCUGUACAAGUAGCUGUAUUUACAGCUGCUGCUGCAUCUGCUCUGGGUUUUGCAGUUUAUGUGCUACUUAACUGGUUCAAAGAUGACAGAUGACAAAGAAAAUAUAAUAAUUCGAGGGUUAUAAAACUAUUCCUUUGUUUCCCAUUUCACUCGUUAGAGGGUUUAAUUUAGGUUGAGUUGUAGUUUAGAUAAUUCAUUAAGGCUAUUUUAGUACUUAGCCAUAUUUCUGUAAUUAAAAGAAAAUAAAUAAUAAAUAAUUUAUUAAGAGGGACAAAAUAGCAUAAACAUAGGAGUUACUAGGGCAAAUUAGAAUAAAGUCCUCGAAAUUGACAAAUUCUUUUUGGAUAUGGCAGCAGCGUCAUCUAUUGCUCUCUUCCACAAACCAACCUGCAGUUUCUAUUUGGGCCCUUUCUCUGCUCCCGCUCGAUAUCGAAGUUGGAGCUCAAUAUUCCAUUUGAAUCGGAGGAGACUCUUCUCUUUCUCUGCUCCUCCUAAAACUAUGGCCGAUUUAGUCAAAACCCAUGCUUGGAGAGACGGCGGAAAUAUUGACGGGGAAGAACGGUUUCAGGCCUUCGAGCAAGAGGCUUUUAUGAAGAAUAGUCCCUCCAACGAUUUGGUCUCCGAUGCUGGCGGUGGGAUCAACGCCGUCGCUAAUCGUCUGGUUUGUAUUCAAAUUCUCGGACGCACACAAUAUGUUUGAUUUAAUGCUGCUAUCCAUCUCCCAAUGAAAUACAAAACUUUUUUUUUUUCCUUGCAAUUUGAUAACAACAUACACAGAGCAAAUGGGUGUUAGCUGCUCUGUUUGGAUCGGUUCUGCUUCUACGACAUGAUGGUGCAGCCUUGUGGGCUGUCAUUGGCUCCGUUUCCAAUUCCGCGCUUUCCGUAGCUCUCAAACGCAUCCUUAACCAAGAGAGACCUGUUGCAACUCUGCGUUCUGACCCUGGGAUGCCUUCUUCUCAUGCUCAGUCCAUUUCUUUCAUCUCUCUCUUUACCCUCUUCUCUGGUAAAACUCUCAAAUUUCUCUCACCCUUUCCUUUCCCA